This 403-nucleotide ribosomal RNA is filed under the name uncultured Planctomycetota bacterium. RNAcentral describes it as "bacterial SSU rRNA". It matches the Rfam family "Bacterial small subunit ribosomal RNA", at positions 355 to 774 of the family's 1533-position model. The record is from RNAcentral. Lineage: Bacteria; Pseudomonadati; Planctomycetota.
UCGAGAAUCUUCCGCAAUGGACGAAAGUCUGACGGAGCGACGCCGCGUGCGGGAUGAAGGCCUUCGGGUUGUAAACCGCUGUCAUAGGGGAGGAAAUUUUGACCGAUCCUAAGAGGAAGCACAGGCUAAGUUCGUGCCAGCAGCCGCGGUAAUACGAACUGUGCGAACGUUAUUCGGAAUCACUGGGCUUAAAGGGUGCGUAGGCGGCUACAAAGGUCAGAUGUGAAAUCCCACGGCUCAACCGUGGAACUGCGUCUGAAACCAUGUAGCUUGAGGAAGUCAGAGGUAAGCGGAACUGAUGGUGGAGCGGUGAAAUGCGUUGAUAUCAUCAGGAACACCGGUGGCGAAAGCGGCUUACUGGGACUUUUCUGACGCUGAGGCACGAAAGCUAGGGGAGCGAACG